Molecule: ribosomal RNA, 890 nt
Filed under: Chryseobacterium jejuense
Lineage: Bacteria; Pseudomonadati; Bacteroidota; Flavobacteriia; Flavobacteriales; Weeksellaceae
Description: bacterial SSU rRNA
Rfam family: Bacterial small subunit ribosomal RNA
Source: RNAcentral
GAUUUAUUGGGUUUAAAGGGUCCGUAGGCGGAUCUGUAAGUCAGUGGUGAAAUCUCGCAGCUUAACUGUGAAACUGCCAUUGAUACUGCAGGUCUUGAGUGUUGUUGAAGUAGCUGGAAUAAGUAGUGUAGCGGUGAAAUGCAUAGAUAUUACUUAGAACACCAAUUGCGAAGGCAGGUUACUAAGCAACAACUGACGCUGAUGGACGAAAGCGUGGGGAGCGAACAGGAUUAGAUACCCUGGUAGUCCACGCCGUAAACGAUGCUAACUCGUUUUUGGGCUUUCGGGUUCAGAGACUAAGCGAAAGUGAUAAGUUAGCCACCUGGGGAGUACGUUCGCAAGAAUGAAACUCAAAGGAAUUGACGGGGGCCCGCACAAGCGGUGGAUUAUGUGGUUUAAUUCGAUGAUACGCGAGGAACCUUACCAAGGCUUAAAUGGGAAUUGACCGGUUUAGAAAUAGACCUUCCUUCGGGCAAUUUUCAAGGUGCUGCAUGGUUGUCGUCAGCUCGUGCCGUGAGGUGUUAGGUUAAGUCCUGCAACGAGCGCAACCCCUGUCACUAGUUGCCAUCAUUAAGUUGGGGACUCUAGUGAGACUGCCUACGCAAGUAGAGAGGAAGGUGGGGAUGACGUCAAAUCAUCACGGCCCUUACGCCUUGGGCCACACACGUAAUACAAUGGCCGGUACAGAGGGCAGCUACACAGCGAUGUGAUGCAAAUCUCGAAAGCCGGUCUCAGUUCGGAUUGGAGUCUGCAACUCGACUCUAUGAAGCUGGAAUCGCUAGUAAUCGCGCAUCAGCCAUGGCGCGGUGAAUACGUUCCCGGGCCUUGUACACACCGCCCGUCAAGCCAUGGAAGUCUGGGGUACCUGAAGUCGGUGACCGUAACAGGAG